UUACGGAAGGCAGCAGUGGGGAAUAUUGGACAAUGGGCGAAAGCCUGAUCCAGCAAUGCCGCGUGAGUGAUGAAGGCCUUAGGGUUGUAAAGCUCUUUUACCCGAGAUGAUAAUGACAGUAUCGGGAGAAUAAGCUCCGGCUAACUCCGUGCCAGCAGCCGCGGUAAUACGGAGGGAGCUAGCGUUGUUCGGAAUUACUGGGCGUAAAGCGCACGUAGGCGGUUUUUCAAGUCAGGGGUGAAAGCCCGGAGCUCAACUCCGGAACUGCCUCUGAAACUGGAUGACUUGAAUCUUGGAGAGGUCAGUGGAAUUCCGAGUGUAGAGGUGAAAUUCGUAGAUAUUCGGAAGAACACCAGUGGCGAAGGCGACUGACUGGACAAGUAUUGACGCUGAGGUGCGAAAGCGUGGGGAGCAAACAGGAUUAGAUACCCGGGUAGUCCC
RNAcentral lists this ribosomal RNA (441 nucleotides) under uncultured bacterium. RNAcentral's name for it is "bacterial SSU rRNA". It matches the Rfam family "Bacterial small subunit ribosomal RNA", at positions 339 to 797 of the family's 1533-position model. The record is from RNAcentral.